CAGCAGCCGCGGGAAUACGAAGAGUGCAAGCGUUAAUCGGAAUUACUGGGCGUAAAGCGUGCGUAGGCGGCCUGGGGCGUCCCAUGUGAAAGGCCACGGCUCAACCGUGGAGGAGCGUGGGAUACGCUCAGGCUAGAGGGUGGGAGAGGGUGGUGGAAUUCCCGGUGUAGCAGUGAAAUGCGUAGAGAUCGGAAGGAACAUCUGUGGCGAAGGCGACUAUCUGGGCCAACACUGACACUGAUGCACGAAAGCGUGGGGAGCAAACAGGAUUAGAUACCCCUGUAGUCCCUGUCUCUUAUAA
Molecule: ribosomal RNA, 301 nt
Filed under: uncultured bacterium
Lineage: Bacteria
Description: partial 16S ribosomal RNA
Rfam family: Bacterial small subunit ribosomal RNA
Source: RNAcentral